GAUGAACGCUGGCGGCGUGCCUAAUACAUGCAAGUCGAGCGAACAGACGCGGAGCUUGCUCCUCUGACGUUAGCGGCGGACGGGUGUGUAACACGUGGAUAACCUCCCUAUCAGACUGGGAUCACUUCGGGAAACCGGAGCUAAUACCGGAUAAUAUAUUGAACCGCAUUGUUCAAUAGUGAGAGACGGUUUUGGUGUCUCUUCUCGAUGGUUCCGCGCCGCAUUAGGUAGUUGGUAAGGUAACGGCUUACCAAGGCUACGAUGCGUAGGCGACCUGAGAGGGUGAUCGGCCACACUAGAACGGAGACACGGUCCAGACUCCUAAGGGAGGCAGCAGUAGGGAAUCGUCCGCAAUAGGCGAAAGCCUGACGCAGCAACGCCGCGUGAGAGAUGAAGGUCUUCGGAGCGUAAAACUCUGUUAUUAGGGAAGAACAAAUGUGUAAGUAACUAUGCACGUCUUGACGGUACCUAAUCAGAAAGCCACGGCUAACUACGUG
This 497-nucleotide ribosomal RNA is filed under the name uncultured bacterium. RNAcentral's name for it is "partial 16S ribosomal RNA". It matches the Rfam family "Bacterial small subunit ribosomal RNA", at positions 28 to 507 of the family's 1533-position model. The record is from RNAcentral.